This is a non-coding RNA of Salmo salar (Atlantic salmon), 54 nucleotides long. The record is from Rfam. NCBI's taxonomy places the organism in Eukaryota, Metazoa, Chordata, Actinopteri, Salmoniformes, Salmonidae.
UGCACUCACUACUGUAAGUCACUCUGGAUAAGAGCGUCAGCUAAAUGACUAAAA